Molecule: non-coding RNA, 24 nt
Filed under: Rattus norvegicus (Norway rat)
Lineage: Eukaryota; Metazoa; Chordata; Mammalia; Rodentia; Muridae
Source: RNAcentral
AACAAGUGGCGACUGUCUGAGUUC